GCCAACAUCAGAGAAGGACACAAAGAAGAGCCUCCCUCGACGUGAAGAGCCGCAUCAGGAGUCAGCCAUGGAUGAACAGCAGGAGUACCAGACGAACGUAUCACGAUGCAGGGACGGAGCACCAGAAAUCCAAAAAUAGCAGGAGUGCAUCUGGAGCAGUCCGCAGCGCCGCAUCAUACAGGAGUCGUCGCGUUGGGAGGCAGCAGCGAAGCCACUGCAAGUAAUAUGCAGACACCUCAACAAAUAUUGGCGAGAGUUCGCAGUGUUAACGGCAGGCGGCAGAAAUCGCGCUGGAUAU
Molecule: long non-coding RNA, 298 nt
Organism: Drosophila grimshawi
Lineage: Eukaryota; Metazoa; Arthropoda; Insecta; Diptera; Drosophilidae
Exons: 3
Source: RefSeq, a predicted model, not a curated record